CACACAGCACGUAUGGUAUCAAGUCCUCCAGAAGCGUGGUUCAUGGACAGGACAUACCAUCCUCGCCUGCUUCCUGCUCCGGCACAGGAGAAGGGGCAGGUGUUGUGUCUAGUUUCACGAAUAGCUGCCCUGCUGCCCUCUGAUUGUGGAUGGAAAGUAGAGUGCAGAGGUGUUGGCUUGGAGUCCAGGAGAUGAGAAGUGAGAGUGACUUGUCCCCAAGCAAGGACUUCAAGGUCUUUGGAAACAGCACAGCAAAGACCAGCACCACUCCAAACGGAGUCCAGUAUUUGGGCUGGCUCCCCAGGUGAGAGCCCUUAGGAGCUGGAGGACUUCUUGCCCCAGGAAGACGACGAGAUGGAAGGUGGCACACUGCUGGAAAAACCCUGUGUCACCGGCCAGGACGGAGACCCCUUGCUCACCAGCCAGCCAUGGCCUCCAGUGCCACCUGUUCUCUGCUGAAGACGGAUCCUUUCCCAGAGAGGACAGCUGGGGACCUUCAUGUCCACUGCAUGCCAAGCUCUGCUGCUGGUUUGAUGACCCCAGAACCUGCCCUUGGGCUUCUCUGACAUGUCUGAGGACCUCUAAGAUCCACCAAUCCAGGAAUGACUCACUCAUGGCACUGGGUUUGGGGACAUGUCCCCGUGAAUACACGGAGCAGCUGAGCCCUGAUGUCCUCUCACUGCCCUGGGGAAGGCUGGCUUCUCAUCACGGAUGGACAGAGCCAUGGUGCAGCCCUGAGGGGACACCACCCACCGGGUCCUUCUCAGCAUUUUCUGCUCCAACCCAGACCCACUUCCUGCCCUGGGUAUGACUUUCACCUCUGGACACUUACUGACUGACGCCCAGGAAGGCCAGGCUCCUGACUAGGGCCCUGAGGUGAUAAACAGGGGCAAGAAUAGAUUUAAAAUAAAAUGGACCUGCAGCCAGUGGCCACCAGCACAGGAAGCCAGCCCCACACCUACGCUGACCAGCCCAGGAAGCCAUCCCCUCACCUACACUGACCAGCCCAGGAAGCCACCCCUCACCUACGCUGACCAGCCCAGGAAGCCACCCCUCACCUACGCUGACCACCACAGGAAGCCAGGCCCACACCUACGCUGACCAGCCUAGGAAGCCAGGCCCACACCUACACUGGCCAGCCCAGGAAGCCAUCCCCUCACCUACACUGACCAGCCCAGGAAGCCAGCCCCUCACCUAUGCUGACCAGCCUAGGAAGCCAGGCCCACACCUACACUGGCCAGCCCAGGAAGCCAUCCCCUCACCUACACUGACCAGCCCAGGAAGCCAGCCCCUCACCUAUGCUGACCAGCCUAGGAAGCCAAGCCCACACCUACACUGGCCAGCCCAGGAAGCCAGCCCCUCACCUACGCUGACCACCACAGGAAGCCAUCCCCUCACCUACGCUGACCAGCCCAGGAAGCCAGGCCCACACCUACGCUGACCUGGCCAGGAAGCCAGCCCCUCACCUAUGCUGACCAGCCCAGGAAGCCACCCCUCACCUACGCUGACCACCACAGGAAGCCAGCCCACCAUCUAACCAACUGGCUCAUGAAGGUGGCCCCUGGUCUGAGCUGCCCGGAUCUACAGCGCCCAGCCAGGAAGAUCAGCAAUAGCUCUGUAACGACUGAAGCAAAGUGGUCAGGACUUGACCAUUACUGCUCCUCCCCUGAUACCUGUCCCAGUUUCAACUCAGGUCCACCCAGAGAAAGCCGAGCGAGACCCCUCAGCCCAGUUAAGGCGCCUGCUGCGUGCUCUUCCUCCGAGCCCAGGCCAGCAGCCUCCUUGUCUGCAUCUGGAGCCUCACCAUCCCCGCUGCACAUCCCUCCCCUGCCCCGGUCUCAGCCAUGUGCCAGUGACAGGGCUGACCCCUGCCAGAACGUGUGCUGAAGACGGCUUCCUGCUCACAUUCGGGUCUGGGCUCACGGCUACCCCUCCUGCCCACCCUGGGCAGGCACUUUCCAGCCUGUUGGCAGGGGCUUGCGUGUUGGAGGGCCCUGGUGGCCACGUGUCCCACCCCUGCUCAUAGGAGGAGGAGUGGGUUCUGGGGGAAAGCAGCUGCCCGCUGGGGCCGGGCGCAGCUGGGGGCUGGGAGCAGAGCUGGCCUGCUUGUGUCGCCUUCCCUCCCCAGGCGAAGGCCGGUGACUUGCUGCCUGUGACAGUCUUUGAGAUGAUCCAUCCACACCAGGCGGGGGCCACAGUCCUGCCUUCACUGCCCCGUGGAGCCGUGACGAGUUCCGGUCGUGUUUAGUCUCCUGCAGACACAGCUGUGAACCCUUUGGCAUGUUUAGGGUGGAAGGUUCUGGCCCCAGGGAAGCUGUCCUGGGGCUGGGGGCACGCACAUGAAACUGUCACAGACUGCUGGGGAGUCCGGCAGAAGGCGGUGGUCCUGGACUCAGAGCCGUUCUGCAGGUCAGAGGGGCAGGGAGGUCCCGUCCUCCUGGCGCCACACGUAGGCCUGUACGGGCCCUGAGUGAGGAAGACACGAGAGGCAGUGGCCCUUGCUCCUUUCUGCCCAGGGCACCCUGCGGCACAGCCUGGCCCACCAGCACCCUUCCUUGCCUCUGCUCCCUGCCCAGGGCCCAGCAGCCCCCUCUACCAGGACUCAGCUGCAGUCUGCCUGCGGCCAGCGGGCCUUUGCUACAUUGGCCUCGAGGCCGGGGCCUGCCCCUGAUGCUGCAAAACUUACCUGGAGCUCACGUCCCUGUCCUCUCUCCUGACCCAUUUCAAUGUAGGACCAGUUUUGAUGCUGGCCUGUCCUCUGUACACAGGGCAGUUAGGCCCUGUUCCCCUGCCCUGGGGAUCUGAUUUUAUGCCGCAGUUGAGCCUUUAUGUGGGAGGGGGUUGGGGCUGUGGGCACCAAGACACUCAGGCCCCUGGAGACCAGGUGCCCCUGAGCUACCCCCACGCGAUGUCUUGGCCUCUCUUUCCCCAGGCAGAGUCCAGGCGAGGACCCGUAUCCGUGGGUGGUCUCAGGAACACCUGGCUGGUGGGGUGAGAGGCAGGGGCCUAGUGGAGGGAGGGGGUACGGUGCGGGCCACUGAGCUCCAUCUCUGCCUGGGGGUCCAGAGCACCCUUAGAUCCCAUGGCUGCCAAGGGGCUGUGGUUGACCUCACUUCCUGAUGGCCAAAGGCUGCUGGGGACACCAGCUUCUUCCGCUUCCUUUGUGCCCUAUGUGUCCCUGGAGGGAACCCUGGGGGUGGGCCGGGUGCCACGAGGGCCUGCAGGGUGAGUGUGCGGUGUUGGGUGCAGGUGGGCUUUGCUGUGCAGCCCUCAAAGGCUCACCUUGGUGGGAUAUGGGUGAGGCCCCCAGCCUGACUUCUCUCCUGUGGGUGGCGGGGACCCCUUGAGACGCUCUUGGACACAGGUGGUGCCUUUCAGGUGGACUGCCACAGAGGCUUCGGUCCCUCUCCUUGACUCCCCCUGCAGCUGACCCUGCGGCCCUGCUGUGACGCACACCUGGCUCCCAGCAGGUGACACCCACUUCCACCCUGUGGGCCCGGGGUGUGCUGGUGGAGCAGCUGCUGACUGUCCUGCUGGCCAAGGCCUUCUAGUUUUCUUUUCAGACUUGACAGUGGACCCCGGAGCUCCGAAUGGUGCUCAGGCACCCGCAGUGUCCAGCCCCAGUGGGACUUUGUUUCCAAUCUAAACCUGCAGUGGGGGCGUGGGGGAUGGGAGGGGAGUGGGAAUCCAUA
Long non-coding RNA from Marmota monax (woodchuck), 3692 nucleotides. RefSeq lists it as uncharacterized. Lineage: Eukaryota; Metazoa; Chordata; Mammalia; Rodentia; Sciuridae. The transcript is spliced from 4 exons. The record is from RefSeq and is a predicted model, not a curated record.